Molecule: non-coding RNA, 20 nt
Filed under: Rattus norvegicus (Norway rat)
Lineage: Eukaryota; Metazoa; Chordata; Mammalia; Rodentia; Muridae
Source: RNAcentral
GACUGUGUUUGUGCUGUGAC